Molecule: long non-coding RNA, 1415 nt
Filed under: Solanum tuberosum (potato)
Lineage: Eukaryota; Viridiplantae; Streptophyta; Magnoliopsida; Solanales; Solanaceae
Description: long non-coding RNA (STUB_LNC006947)
Source: RNAcentral
UUGAAAAUAGUACUAUAUUAUAUGUCAUAUAUGAAAUUUACACUUUUUGUAUAUAUCUAAUGUAUAUCAGAGUAUAUCGGAUGUAUACAACCCAUUUUUCCGCUUUCCGGGACCUGUACAUCAAUUCCAAAGACCUGUUCUUCGAUUUCUCAAGGUUGACUGACUCGAUAAAAGAAUUUUAGGCCUCCAUGGCCCAUUGGAGGAGGAAAACGAACGAGAAAGAAUCCAUUUGGACUCCAAAGAGAUUUGGCAGACAACAAGACAAAAUAAGAUGAGGAUCAGUAUCAAUUUCCAAUAGAAACAAGCAAAUGAUGAAGUAAUAUGAAGCACUAACAAGAGAAUCAUAAGAAUACAUAAUAUGAGAAAGUAAGGCACAAACAUAGGAAAUGAACAAGAAAUUAAUAAGAGCAGGGGCAUUAAUAUUAUCUCAUGACCAAACAAAUGACACAUGCCAUACAUUUCGACAUACAUUUAACAACAAACCAAACUAUAAUCCAUUUGAAAAGUUCAAAGAUUUAACCGGCUGCAUCCCAUUAUAAAAUAAAAAUUAGAAGCAUGAUUUCUCUUAUAACUUUGCACUAAGAUAAUAACUUUAAAAUCCCGCACCACCGCUAAUCAUAAAUAAUUAAGCAACAAACUUUAAACGAAACUUGAUCAUGCUGAAAAGAUGAACUCAACAAACAUUCAAGAUGAACUUAAGCGGAAAACAAUAUCCUUCGAUUCGAGAUGAACUCAACAAACAUUCGAGUAAAGAAAUGAAAAUAAAAUAAAUAAAAUGGGCAGCACUAAAGAUACAAGAUCGAACUUAAGAGACUUCAAAAAAAAAAACACACACACAAUCAUGAGUUGCAAACACGACUACAACAACUGAAAUAUAAGAGAAACACAACCAACAUUCAAGCUGUGUUUGCACAGAGAUAGAUUUUAUAAUAUCGAGGCAGCAUAUAAGAGUUCAAAAUGACCGAAACGACAACCAAGGGGACAAACGAACAGUAAAGAAGACACAACUGUGUAACCAACACAUUCGAACUGAAAACAAGUGAACAUCAAACCAUUUUAGACAAAACGAGGCCGAGAUUCAACUAGUCAUAUAGAUAUAAAUCGAGUUAAUGAACAUAACGAUCAACAUAUAAUAUCAAAGCAAACUUCAUUGAUGUCGAAUCCAUCCUUACUGUCCAAAAACUCGCAGGAAAACAAGAUUAAAGCGAGUGCUAAAUGAAAGAACCAAAUACUCUUAUUAACAGACCCUAUAUCAAGUGUUGAACACACACAACGUCCUACAUUGAAACAGAAUACAAAAGAAGGCGAGGUUACCUUUUUUCGGGCAGCGAUUGGGACGACGAGCUCGAUUAUGAAGCAACCCCCACUACCACAACAAAGUUUCAUUGGAGAAUCCUCCGAGUUCCCGAAACCAA